Molecule: long non-coding RNA, 1152 nt
Organism: Gossypium arboreum
Lineage: Eukaryota; Viridiplantae; Streptophyta; Magnoliopsida; Malvales; Malvaceae
Exons: 2
Source: RefSeq, a predicted model, not a curated record
GAUACUAGUGAUUUUUAUUGACCCUAAAACCUACUUUCCCUUUAGUUGUAGUUUUUUUUUUUUUUCAACUAAUAAUUGACUGGAUUUUUUUAAAUAAAACAAAAUUAAAUAACAAACGGUCCAAAAAGAAAGAAAACAAAAUAAAAGAAAUUGGCCCAAAAACUUAAAAUUGCCCAAGGAGAAAACACCCUAAAACUUAGUUCAGAAUAAUCUAGAAUAACACAAAAUUCACCGAAAGUUACCCAAUCAGAAAUCACUGAUUCCCAUUCUGUCUAUCAGCCAUCAUUUCUCUCUUUAGGAUGGUUUCAGUUCUCAAGGAAAGCUUUAUCACAAAAAACCUAUUCAUCUACUUUAUUGAGGAUUUCCUUCCUUAUUUCCUCUUCUCCAGCCGUUCUCAAUCCGGUUCUCACACUCUAUCGGCAUAUCCAGGGACGCUUUUAACUAGCCACUGCAUUUUGAUUCCUAUUUGGACUGCUUUUCGACAUGCGAGCGCUUCAGCAGCGAAGGUCGAUGCCACCUCUUGAUGAAUUUCUGAACAAGAUAAGAGGACAGUCACUUCAUUGGUUCUGGCCACAAUCCUCGAAGCCGAUUGGAAAUGACGCCCAUCAUAUGCUCCAUCAAAAUUGACUUUUACGAACUCACCAGAUGGGUAGCUCCAUUUUCUAAACCCCUUUAAAACAAUAGGAAUUCUUUUUUUAACGCCAUUUAAUUCGGUAAUAUAAUUAUUGAAAAAACUUGUUAUUUCCUGACCAGUGCUAUUUUUCUUAUCAUGCAUUCUAGCAUAUAGUGCACAGCAAAAAAGUCGGCAUUGAAAAGGGGGCUAUUGAACAAAAACCCAAGUAAGCCACUAUAAAAAAUCCAGAUUAGAAUCCAUUACAAUAGUUGGGAUUGAUAAUGCUGUUCAAACUUCCACUGAAAUAAGGCAUUCGUGAAAGAGGUGAUAAAUUGUUUCUGCUCCUUCUCUACAUCAGGGGUAAGUUGUAAUGUCAACUAGCUUCCUGUGCUGCAUGUUAACCCAUGCAGGAAAAUAAUUCCAUGAUAUUCUCCAGAUUGUAAUCUUGAUUUUAGUAGGAAGAUUUUGGAGCCAAAGUUUUUUUGUAGAAAUUCCUGUAGUCGGUUUGUAAAGUAUAAGCUCUAGAGUUUUCACCAGAA